Molecule: ribosomal RNA, 379 nt
Filed under: uncultured fungus
Lineage: Eukaryota; Fungi
Description: eukaryotic LSU rRNA
Source: RNAcentral
CCUGCGGGUGGCAUCAGUCGUUUGGAGUACGGAGGGGGAGGAGUUUACACCGCAAGGCUAGCUUUUGUCUCAUCUGUGCUUGAAGCGAUGCACUUUUUCAUUUGCAGGUCAACAUCAGUUUCCUCUGCUGGAAAAAACUCUAAGGGAAGGUAGCAGCUUUGGCUGUGUUAUAGCUCUGGAGCGAUACAGUGGAGGGGACUGAGGUUUCGCAGCAUGUGCUUUCGGGCAAGGUUGACUGGGUGCUAUGAGGGAGCUUGGCGUACAAUGCAUGCAUUUUGCGCUUCGUCUCUUUUUUACUCGCUCAAAUCAACUCUUCCAUGCUUAGGAUGUUGACUUAAUGGUUUUAAACGACCCGUCUUGAAACACGGACCAAGGAGUC